UACAGAGGGUGCAAGCGUUGCUCGGAAUCAUUGGGCGUAAAGGGCAGGUAGGUGGUCUCAUUUGUCUGGGGUGAAAGCCUUGAGCUUAACUCAAGAAGUGCCCCGGAAACGGUGAGACUGGAGUCUUGGAGAGGGUCGUGGAAUUCCCGGUGUAGCGGUGAAAUGCGCAGAUAUCGGGAGGAACACCGGUGGCGAAGGCGGUUCUCUGGGCCUGUACUGACGCUGAGGAGCGAAAGCGUGGGGAGCAAACAGG
RNAcentral lists this ribosomal RNA (253 nucleotides) under uncultured bacterium. RNAcentral's name for it is "partial 16S ribosomal RNA". It matches the Rfam family "Bacterial small subunit ribosomal RNA", at positions 524 to 776 of the family's 1533-position model. The record is from RNAcentral.